RNAcentral lists this ribosomal RNA (301 nucleotides) under uncultured bacterium. RNAcentral describes it as "partial 16S ribosomal RNA". It matches the Rfam family "Bacterial small subunit ribosomal RNA", at positions 509 to 809 of the family's 1533-position model. The record is from RNAcentral.
CAGCCGCCACGGGAAUACGUAGGGUGCGAGCGUUAAUCGGAAUUACUGGGCGUAAAGCGUGCGCAGGCGGUUAUAUAAGACAGAUGUGAAAUCCCCGGGCUCAACCUGGGACCUGCAUUUGUGACUGUAUAGCUAGAGUACGGUAGAGGGGGAUGGAAUUCCGCGUGUAGCAGUGAAAUGCGUAGAUAUGCGGAGGAACACCGAUGGCGAAGGCAAUCCCCUGGACCUGUACUGACGCUCAUGCACGAAAGCGUGGGGAGCAAACAGGAUUAGAUACCCCUGUAGUCCCUGUCUCUUAUAA